RNAcentral lists this ribosomal RNA (1083 nucleotides) under uncultured bacterium. RNAcentral's name for it is "bacterial SSU rRNA". It matches the Rfam family "Bacterial small subunit ribosomal RNA", at positions 64 to 1140 of the family's 1533-position model. The record is from RNAcentral.
GAGGGGCAGCAUGAAGUUUGCUUGCAAACUUUGAUGGCGACCGGCGCACGGGUGAGUAACGCGUAUCCAACCUUCCCUAUAGUAGAGAAUAGCCCGGCGAAAGUCGGAUUAAUGCUCUAUGUUAUUCAAAGCGGACAUCUAAUUUGAAUCAAAGGUUCACCGCUAUAGGAUGGGGAUGCGUCUGAUUAGCUUGAUGGCGGGGUAACGGCCCACCAUGGCGACGAUCAGUAGGGGUUCUGAGAGGAAGGUCCCCCACAUUGGAACUGAGACACGGUCCAAACUCCUACGGGAGGCAGCAGUGAGGAAUAUUGGUCAAUGGGCGAGAGCCUGAACCAGCCAAGUAGCGUGCAGGAUGACGGCCCUAUGGGUUGUAAACUGCUUUUAUGCGGGGAUAAAGUCGGCUACGCGUAGCCGUUUGUAGGUACCGCAUGAAUAAGGACCGGCUAAUUCCGUGCCAGCAGCCGCGGUAAUACGGAAGGUCCGGGCGUUAUCCGGAUUUAUUGGGUUUAAAGGGAGCGCAGGCCGGAGGUCAAGCGUGACGUGAAAUGUAGGGGCUCAACCUUUGAAUUGCGUCGCGAACUGGUUUCCUUGAGUGAGUACGACGUCAGCGGAAUUCGUGGUGUAGCGAUGAAAUGCUUAGAUAUCACGAAGAACCCCGAUUGCGAAGGCAGCUGACGAGUCCUUUACUGACGCUAAAGCUCGAAGGUGCGGGUAUCGAACAGGAUUAGAUACCCUGGUAGUCCGCACGGUAAACGAUGGAUGCCCGCUGUUUGCGAUAUAUUGUAAGCGGCCAAGCGAAAGCGUUAAGCAUCCCACCUGGGGAGUACGCCGGCAACGGUGAAACUCAAAGGAAUUGACGGGGGCCCGCACAAGCGGAGGAACAUGUGGUUUAAUUCGAUGAUACGCGAGGAACCUUACCCGGGCUUGAACUGCAGGAGAACGAUCCAGAGAUGGUGAGGCCCUUCGGGGCUCCUGUGGAGGUGCUGCAUGGUUGUCGUCAGCUCGUGCCGUGAGGUGUCGGCUUAAGUGCCAUAACGAGCGCAACCCCUUUCGCCAGUUGCCAUCAGGUGAUGCUGGGCACUC